UACCGUACCUGUGCAGCUGUUUU
RNAcentral lists this non-coding RNA (23 nucleotides) under Cricetulus griseus (Chinese hamster). The record is from RNAcentral. Lineage: Eukaryota; Metazoa; Chordata; Mammalia; Rodentia; Cricetidae.